This 610-nucleotide long non-coding RNA is filed under the name Vitis vinifera (wine grape). RNAcentral's name for it is "long non-coding RNA (VVIN_LNC005725)". Lineage: Eukaryota; Viridiplantae; Streptophyta; Magnoliopsida; Vitales; Vitaceae. The record is from RNAcentral.
AAAUGGUUGCUGGGAUUUCGUGUAUUUCUGAGGACAUACUUGUGGCAAGCUUGCUUUUUAUAAAUGUUCAAGACAAGUUCACUUCCAUGACUUGUAUAGAAUGGUAAAUUUCAGCCCAAAUGCCUCUCCCCUGUGCCAUUUAUGUUCUGGAGUACAACCUUCUUCCUUUUAACCCAUAUGCUUGGUAGAUGCCUAGGUAAAACUGUUGCUCUCCCUGUCUUUGCUUUAUGACAGCAUAAAAAGGGUCCCAAAACGUGGGACAAUUUCUUACCACUAGGUUAUACAACCGAGAGAUAAUAAGAACUUAAGCUUGCUUUGAAGGGGGCAAAUAUUCUAUGUCUCAAGUUAUUGGUUGGAAAAUUGGGAAGUUAAAAGUUUUAAUAAUGUUGCAUCAGAUCUGUGCAACCAUCUUCUUAGGCUUAAAACUCAUUAAUUUUUGAAUGACCUUAAGCCUGUCUGGAUUACUGUGUACUAUCUUGUUAUGCAUUUGCUUUAGUGGUAUAUGGUUUUUCAAGGUUGAUGCUAAUGCGCUUGCAUUGUUUUCUUGGUUCAGCUCUGCGGGCACCAGUACAACCCCUUCCACGACAACUCCCUCAACCACACCAUCAAC